GUGUGUUAUUACCUGAUCUGUAACGCUCAUCCCGAGUGCCACCGCUCCUGUGUGCUCGCCGUGCACGACGAUGCCGAGAGGAGGAGGAGCUUGAGGAGGCGUUGCUAGAAGAGAGGAGUGAAGGACAAGAAAGGAGAAGAAAGGAGAUGUAAACACGGCCUGUGUGGACGGGGAGGAGACUGAGAGGAGACUGAAAGGAGCUCUCACCCUCGGACAGCUCCAGGUCGAGCUCAGCCAGCUGCUCCCGGACCUCCGGCGGCAGAGCGCUCACAUCCACGGGCCUCUCCGCCAUCAUCUCUCCGGGAUGAAACCGGGGCUUCCCCGGAACCCACACCGGACAAACAACAACAACGACAACAAUCCGCUUCCGGCUGCUCUCGGUAAACGGCGGCUGUUCAGCAGCAGCACAACAACAGCGAGCUCCAUCCGUGAACCCUCUCCGCUCCUCAGCGCCGCGUCUCCGCCAUGAGACAGAGAGAGAGAGAGAGAGAGAAACCCCGGGACCGGUGGAGAGGGUCACGUGACACACACUCCGGAGCUCGCGACUCCGGGAUCGGUGCUCCCUCUGCUGUUUCAGCGCGGAGAACGCUCUGUUCAAGUGUUUCUUUACAUGAAGGAGGUUUGAGUUAAAAUCACUGAACCACGAUUUAAAUGGCAGAUUUCAGACACUACAUCAUGUGUAGGGGAGAGCGGGGUAAAGCUGUCACACUGUUCAUACCUCCUACAGACACAGACAUCAACACCGACACCAAAACCGACACAAACACCAACAGACACCAACACCAACAGACACCAACAGACACAAACACCAACAGACACCGACACAAACACCAACAGACACAGACACCGACAACAACACAAACACCAACAGACACCGACAACAACACAAACACCAACAGACACCGACACAAACAACGACACACACAAACACCAACAGACACAGACACCAACAGACACUGACAACAACACAAACACCAACAGACACCGACACCGACAACAACACAAACACCAACAGACACCGACACAAACAACGACACACACAAACACCAACAGACACUGACAACAACACAAACACCAACAGACACCGACACAAACAACGACACACACAAACACCAACAGACACUGACAACAACACAAACACCAACAGACACCGACACAAACAACGACACACACAAACACCAACAGACACAGACACCGACACAAACACCAACAGACAGACACAAACAACAACACAAACACCGACAGACACCGACACAAACACCAACAGACAGACACAAACAACAACACAAACACCGACAGACACCGACACAAACACCAACAGACACCGACACAAACAACGACACACACAAACACCAACAGACACAGACACCGACACAAAAAAAUUUGUUGGUACAAAUUGCUGUUUUGCGUAUGGAGCUCAGAAGCUCACAAAAAUAAGUGAAUGAAUUUUGAAGGCUGUAUUUGAAGUUGCUCUCCAACAGUUAAAGAAACUGAAGCAACAUUAAUUACAUAUGAGAUGUGAAAAUUCAUGUUAAAAUCCAAAGACAGAUCUGAGAGGAGAGUUUAGGAUUUCAGCUUUUAUUUUUAUUUCUUUGCAUCAGACCACUCAAUUUUUAGGUGAGCAAAAGUAUUGGAACAGACAGUCUUGAAGUAGAUUAAAUAACAUUUAAUAUUUGGAUGCAUGUCCGUCGCUUGUAGUAACUGCAUCACUCCUGCGACUCACUGACACCAAACUGCUGGUUUCUUCUUCUGUGAAGCUUCUCCAGGUUUUUCCUGCAGCUUCUUUCAGUAGUUGUUUGUUUUGGGGGGUUUCUCCCUUCAGUCUCCUCUUCAGGAGGUGAAAUGCUGAUUAGUUGGGUGAAGGUCUGGUGAUGGACUUGUCCAGUAUAAAACCUUCCACUUUUCCCAGUUCUGGCCCCGCUGCUUCUCCGACUGAUUUACAUUUAAUUUUGAAUUUGAAAUAUAAAAUAUCUUCACAAUGACUCGUGUGUACUUACGUGCUAAAAAUUCAAUGUAAUUUAUAACUCUGUACUGAAAUAUGAUAUGAAGAUAUGCAAAUGUAAUAAACGCAAACUAUGUGCCUGAGACUUCCUUCUAUAAAUUGCUGGCACAAUUCUAAAAUUGCAUGGGUCAAAGCUCACUAAAACUCUCCAAACCUGAGAAAAAAAAUCGAACUCAAAAUCCCGAUUUACCUUCCCAAAAUCCCGACUUACCGUCCCAAAAUCCCUACUAACCGUCCCAAAAUCCCAAUUUACCGUCCCAAAAUCCCUACUAACUGUCCCAAAAUCCCGACUUACCGUCCCAAAAUCCCUACUAACUGUCCCAAAAACCCGACUUACCGUCCCAAAAUCCCGAUUUACCGUCCCCAAAAUCCCUACUUACCGUCCCCAAAAUCCCUACUAACUGUCCCAAAAUCCUGACUUACCGUCCCAAAAUCCCAAUUUACCGUCCCAAAAUCCAGACUUAGUCCCAAAAUCCCGAUUUAAUAAGGAAGGUUGGUGUUCGUGAGCGGAGAACAGUGCUGCAAAGUGAAAACCCUCGACUCUGCUGAGUUCCAUCAAAUGUUUAUUUAUUACAAUAUAUCUUCAGGACCAUUUCAUUUAGUUCAUAUACAGACAGCGAUGCUGCGACACUCGUUUAUUAUUUUAUAUACUCACUGAUAUUUACAGCUCCGUAGAGUUCGGCCGAGGAGCGACACUCACACGUGAUACACACAAAGGAUACGCUCUUCAUUCAUAUUCAUAAAGCACAUCACACACACA
Molecule: long non-coding RNA, 2762 nt
Organism: Ictalurus furcatus (blue catfish)
Lineage: Eukaryota; Metazoa; Chordata; Actinopteri; Siluriformes; Ictaluridae
Exons: 3
Source: RefSeq, a predicted model, not a curated record